This 236-nucleotide ribosomal RNA is filed under the name uncultured bacterium. Its description in RNAcentral is "partial 16S ribosomal RNA". It matches the Rfam family "Bacterial small subunit ribosomal RNA", at positions 15 to 244 of the family's 1533-position model. The record is from RNAcentral.
GAUCCUGGCUCAGGAUGAACGCUAGCGGCAGUCUUAACACAUGCAAGUCGAGGGGCAGCAUAAUGGAUAGCAAUAUCUAUGGUGGCGACCGGCGCACGGGUGCGUAACGCGUAUGCAACCUACCUUUAACAGGGGGAUAAUACUGAGAAAUUGGUACUAAUACCCCAUAAUAUCAUAGAAGGCAUCUUUUAUGGUUGGAAAUUCCGAUGGUUAGAGAUGGGCAUGCGUUGUAUUAG